AAGUCGUAACAAGGUUUCCGUAGGUGAACCUGCGGAAGGAUCAUUAACACGUAUCCAACGUUAAACCCCCUGUGAACAUUCAUUGUACGAGUUACAUCCACGUCAUAAACCGGCAAUCUCUGGUAAAUCAUCGCCGAACAGUUUUGAUUCAGAGACCUCUGGGAAGGGUGUACGGUAGUGCGAGGCAAUUGACCUGGCAUUCCUCUGCUUGUUAGUACGGAUGGCGCAGUAACGAUCGCUGGAGGCCGAACGGCCGGCGACCAGGUCACUGGGCUACGGCCCCCCUGAUCACAACCUUUGCAUGAAAACGGGCCUGCGCUGAGGUGCGGCCACCCCUAAUGCUUGAACAACUGUUAACAAUGGAUAUCUUGGUUCUC
RNAcentral lists this unclassified non-coding RNA (377 nucleotides) under fungal sp. RNAcentral's name for it is "partial internal transcribed spacer region". The stretch from base 1 to 46 matches the Rfam family "Eukaryotic small subunit ribosomal RNA", at positions 1786 to 1831 of the family's 1831-position model. The record is from RNAcentral. Lineage: Eukaryota; Fungi.